Molecule: ribosomal RNA, 313 nt
Filed under: Lactiplantibacillus plantarum
Lineage: Bacteria; Bacillati; Bacillota; Bacilli; Lactobacillales; Lactobacillaceae
Description: partial 23S ribosomal RNA
Rfam family: Bacterial large subunit ribosomal RNA
Source: RNAcentral
UCAGAAGCAGCCACCAUUUAAAGAGUGCGUAAUAGCUCACUAGUCGAGUGAUCCUGCGCCGAAAAUGUACCGGGGCUAAGCAUACUACCGAAACCAUGGAUGCGACCAUUAGGUCGCGUGAUAGGAGAGCGUUCUAAGGGCGGUGAAGCAAGAUCGUGAGGACUUGUGGAGCGCUUAGAAGUGAGAAUGCCGGUAUGAGUAGCGAAAGAUAGGUGAGAAUCCUAUCCACCGAAUGACUAAGGUUUCCUGGGGAAGGCUCGUCCUCCCAGGGUUAGUCGGGACCUAAGUCGAGGCCGAGAGGCGUAGACGAUGG